GUGAGCUGUAAACUCAUGGACAAGGUAGGCCCUUUCUUAUGAGAUGGUUAGUAGUAAUUAUAUGAA
Molecule: transfer RNA, 66 nt
Filed under: Mytilus edulis (blue mussel)
Lineage: Eukaryota; Metazoa; Mollusca; Bivalvia; Mytilida; Mytilidae
Description: tRNA-Tyr
Source: RNAcentral